Long non-coding RNA from Pollicipes pollicipes, 347 nucleotides. RefSeq lists it as uncharacterized. The transcript is spliced from 3 exons. Lineage: Eukaryota; Metazoa; Arthropoda; Thecostraca; Pollicipedomorpha; Pollicipedidae. The record is from RefSeq and is a predicted model, not a curated record.
GGGCGACACGUCCGUGCUGGAGGCCGACACCGAGUGGGGCGACGAGCUGCACGACGACGACAGUGACGCCGACGACUCGGACGAGGACUCGCUGAACAACAAGCUGUGUACGUUCACGGUGACGCAGAAGGAGUACAUGAACCAGCACUGGUACCACUGCCACACGUGCAGCAUGCUGGACUCGGUCGGCGUCUGCUCGGUGUGUGUGCGCGUCUGUCACAAGGGGCACGACGUCACCUACGCCAAGCACGGCAGCUUCUUCUGCGACUGUGGCGCCAAGGAGGACUCCAGCUGCCAGGCGCUAGUGAAGCGCAACCGGCAGCCGGAGCCGGCGGCGGCCGGCAGCG